RNAcentral lists this ribosomal RNA (484 nucleotides) under uncultured bacterium. Its description in RNAcentral is "partial 16S ribosomal RNA". It matches the Rfam family "Bacterial small subunit ribosomal RNA", at positions 28 to 523 of the family's 1533-position model. The record is from RNAcentral.
GACGAACGCUGGCGGCGUGCUUAACACAUGCAAGUCGAACGAUGAAGCCGGAGCUUGCUCUGGUGAAUUAGUGGCGAACGGGUGAGUAACACGUGAGUAACCUGCCCUUGACUCUGGGAUAACUGCUAGAAAUGGUAGCUAAUACCGGAUACGACCCUCGGCGGCAUCGCCAGGGGGUGGAAAGAAUUUCGGUCAAGGAUGGACUCGCGGCCUAUCAGCUAGUUGGUGAGGUAACGGCUCACCAAGGCGACGACGGGUAGCCGGCCGGAGAGGGUGACCGGCCAAACUGGGACUGGGACACGGCCCAGACUCCUACGGGAGGCAGCAGUGGGGAAUAUUGCACAAUGGGCGCAAGCCUGAUGCAGCAACGCCGCGUGAGGGAUGACGGCCUUCGGGUUGUAAACCUCUUUUAGUAGGGAAGAAGCGAAAGUGACGGUACCUGCAGAAAAAGCACCGGCUAACUACGUGCCAGCCGCCGCAGUAA